Brienomyrus brachyistius is the source of this 327-nucleotide long non-coding RNA. RefSeq lists it as uncharacterized. The transcript has 4 exons. The record is from RefSeq and is a predicted model, not a curated record. NCBI's taxonomy places the organism in Eukaryota, Metazoa, Chordata, Actinopteri, Osteoglossiformes, Mormyridae.
GACGCGAAACAAACCGAUUUCGAUUCCUCCGAAAGUCUAUUCGAGAGUUAAAAGAACCGGAUUCACUCAUGCACUGGAAGGAGAAAAAAACAUUUUGAGACAGAAGUGCCUUCCAAAAAAUGCAACACAGAAACAAGACACACACACACACAACUGCACGUGAGGCAGGAGAGUGGCCAAAGGCUUGAGAAUUUCUCUUUUGAGUUUGCAUGGAUACGGCUAGCGGGCGGCCCAUGGUUACAAAGGAAGCAGACGUGAAAAGAUAGCCUGAAGCACAUGGACGAUGGUGAGCAGGACAGUAUUGCUGGCAGCACCCGGAAAGGGGUC